This 4063-nucleotide long non-coding RNA is filed under the name Homo sapiens (human). Its description in RNAcentral is "HSALNT0390220". Lineage: Eukaryota; Metazoa; Chordata; Mammalia; Primates; Hominidae. The record is from RNAcentral.
UUAUCUCUUAUAAAAUCAUACAGGAAACAUUAUCAAACAUAAAAUGAUGUUUGACUUUCUUUAUUCUAAAAACUAAUAAAAAUAGGUGCUAAAAAUUUUCCAAAUGAAAAUAAAUAUUGCUAAACCAAAGAGAAAUGUUAUCUAAGCCCCGUAUAAAAAAUAAAUAAAUCUUGUUCCAAUUGCAUCAAAAAACCCAUUAAGGGCCCUCCAGCACAGGGUUAAUACCAACGAGUUUCCACCUCCAGCUGCUCCUAGAGUGGCCACAGCAUGAGCCAUCUGGUGGGGGACCUAGCCGCCAACAGACACUUCCUGUACAGGGGAGGGGGGAGGGGGCCAGGCAGCCGUUAGACAGCACAACCGAACCCAACACCGGGGCCCAACGGCAGGGGCUUGGGCAGGAGCAAGGUCCGAGGGCUGCCAGGUCCACGCUGCUUUUAUGAGCUGUAACACUCACCGCGAAGAUCUGCAGCUUCACUCCUGAGCCCAGCGAGACCACGAGCCCACCGGGAGGAACAAACAACUCCAGACGCGCUGCCUUAAGAGCUGUAACACUUGCCGUGAAGGUCUGCAGCUUCACUCCUGAGCCAGCGAGACCACGAACCCACCAGAAGGAAGAAACUCCGAACACAUCUCAACAUCAGAACGGACAGACUCCAGACGCACCACCUUAAGAGCUGUAACACUCACCGCGAGGUUCCGCGGCUUCAUUCUUGAAGUCAGUAAGACCAAGAACCCACCAAUUCCGGACACAGUAGCAUUUGGGAAUAAUAAGAAUUGUAGCUGGGCAUGGUGGUACACGCCUGUAGACCCCUAGCAGCUGCCAUCAUCCUCACCAUCCGCAUAUUAUUGAUAUAUUAACUCUUUGAUGGCAACCAUAGCUUAUCCCCCUUAUCUCCCUAUGCCCUACAGCAGGGCAGUGGAAUGGUUAAGAGGCUUUGAAGUCUAAGAGUGCUGGCUUAAAACCCUAAUUUGUCAUUUUGGAUGUGUGGCUUUGGACACUUGGGGCAGGUCACCUAUGUUCUUCAAGCCCUGUAUCCUUAUCUGUCAGAUGAUGAUUUUUUUUUUUUUAGACGAAGUCUCACUCUCUUGCCCGGGCUGGAGUGCAGUGGCAUGAUCUCGGCUUACUGCAAGCUCCACCUCCCGGGUUGACGCCAUUCUCCUGCCUCAGCUUCCUGAGUAGCUGGGACUACAGGCUCCUGCCACCACCCGUGGCUAAUUUUUUUGUAUUUUUAGUAGAGACAGGGUUUCACCAUGUUAGCCAGGAUGGUCUCGAUCUCCUGACCUCGUGAUCUGCCCGCCCCAGCCUCCCAAAGUAUCAGAUGAUUUUAACAACUAUGCUUCCAUGACUUGCUGGGCUAGAUGAUAUGACUGUAAAAUGCCUAACCCAUGGUUUAGCAUCAAGUAAGCAAAUUGUAAAUGGUAGCACUGCUCUGCCUAUGACUAUUUAGUCUUGUGCUUUAAACUCAAAUAUUUGUUGGCCUACUGAAGUCACCACACAGAGAAAGAUGCUUUUCAUUCUCAGUAAAGAACUUUGGGAGAUAACUGGGGCAGGCAGCAAGAGAACAGAUGUCAUAUGUCUAGCAUCAGCAAACUCAUCAGAACUGAUGGGCAGCUCACUUUGCUUAGAACCUGCACCAGCAUACACACGGGGCUGCUUCCCAGUCACACUGCUCCUGGGAAGGUAGGGGGGCUGCUGUUCUGCAAUUAGCGCGGUUCUUUACCUCCUAUUACCGAACUGCCAGAGUUCAUUUGUGUUCAGUUAGGUAGAUGACCAAUUCUUGUUCAUUCCUAUUUUCUUUUGCUCACUAAUGUGUUUAACGUUCACUAACCUACCAAAUGUGAUUUAUUAGCGACUUUUUCUUUGAAGAUGGAGUGGAGGAAUCCUAGCGCUUUCUGCAACAUGCUACUGCUGUUAUGGAACAGUGCAGAUAUGGAAGUGCAUCAGCCGGGGAUGGGGAGAGGCUAGGGCAGUACAUGUGAAUGGAGAGGUAGCCCCACCAGUGUGUUUUCUGAAAUACAGUCCCGCAGAGGGCAGUCUUGGGAAAUUACUGUUCUCACACACUCUUCUUGACCCUACCCCUCCAGCACCUCCCUUGCUAUCCAAGGGUUGGGAUUUUUAAAAAGAAAAACAAAUUUUAAAAAAAGCAGUGUGAAUCUUUUGCCAUCUUGUAAGGGUGAAAAGCCCCCUACCAAGUCGGGAUGAACAUUCAUGCGUGUGCUUGAGGGCUUGGGAAAAAGACAGGGCUUGGCCCCACAGUGCAGGUAGGCCCAGUGAUCCUAUAAUAGGGGCCAGGAGAUGGGAGGUCCCCUGUGGGCAGGAGUUCAAGUAUGUGGUAUUAUAUGACUGGUGCUUGAUGAACCCAGGGAGAGGGCACCAAAAACAAUGGUAUUUAAUUGUAAAAUCUCCACCCCCUGAGGAUAUGUUUUCAGGUCUGGGUGACUAAUUAGACUGGGAAACAAGGGCAGGAACGAUGGCCCUGUGCUUGCUCUGCCCGCUGCCUCUGUGGAUGUGUGGGCUGCUGGCUUCAGUCCUGCUUUUCUUUCUGAUGGUAUUGUUUAUGCUAUGUGUUUUUGCAGGAGGCCUGAGGUGGGCUGGGUUCUCCUCCUAUGGCAGGGCUUCACUCUCCUCCUCCUUCUCUGUUGGGGCUUCACUGUCCCUGGGAUAAGAAUAACAAUGCCAAGGUUUUCAUUCUUGAAAGGAGCAAUUAAGCGUCUCACCCCCUCCUCAUUUUAGAUGGGAACUGUGAGGGUCCCGUCAUUUACCCAGGGUCCCUGUUGAGGAUCUUGUCCUCAUUAGAUGACUUCUUGUGCAGCUUCCAUGCGUGAUUCUUUACUCUUGUGGCACUGAGAGGUUUGUACAUGUCUUUAAGCCAGAGCGGCUUUCUGAAUGAAAAAAGUCCAUCCUAGAAGAUAGAAAGGGAAAUAUUAAUUUUGCAUGUCCUCUGCUUUCCCUGGUCACAGCAAUGAAUCCUCCAAUGUACCUGACUCUCCCUUUGCGAAGAGCAUCUCCGUGGCAGAAAUCUGAAAAUGCCCCUGGGGAGACACAUGCACAAGACAGUUCGUGAGCCACACAUCUCCCCACACCAAGCUCCUCCAUACAAGACCUCGGACUGCAUCACGUAAAUGCUUUUUCAGGGGCAAAAUCUAGAGAAUCUGAAACGAGCUAUCAGCUUCCCAGUUUGCACAAUUCAUCAAGAAAUUAUGCGGGGUCACUGGCACAAAUGAUGAGGCAUCUCCUGGAAGCUUAACUUCUUAUCCAUCCCAUCUCUUGGACAGAUGAUGCCAGUUAAUUACUUUGAAUAGAAGACUCACUGGUGGCACCUGCAGCUGCGGCGUUUUCCCCAAGGCCGGCGUGCUGUGCAAUUUAUCCAGUGGCCACUAGAGGACAGCAGCGACUCAGGGGUCUGUCACACGCAGCCCAACUCAACUGGAGUCCUGAGAAGGUGAACAGACCAGGAUGGAUGGCCAGGGAACUCACCAGAAGUCCCCAGGCAUCAGAACAAGGUCGAAGCAUCCUGAUUAGGGUACCAGAGGCCCAGGCAGUACUUUUGGGGUAGACGAGGUACAGACCUUUGGCUCCUCACUGUCUUCAAGCCCACAAGAAGCAUAGAGCAGAAGAAGACAGAGGAGGGCCCAUCUGGCCCACUACCUGUUCUUGUAAAUAAAGCUUUAUUGAAGCCAGGUGCUCACCUUCUAGCACAUUCUUCAAGAGUUACUCUGAGGCAAGCCAGCCGCCAUGUCAUGAGGACACUCAAGCAGCACCAUGGAGAGGUCCGAUGGCGAGGAACAGAGGAUCCCCCUGCCGACAGCCAAUGAGGAACAGGCCUCCUGCCAACAGCCGUGUAAGGGGUCACCUUGGAAGCCAAUGGCCCCUCCCUGGUCAGGCUUUUACAUGACUGCAGUCCUGGCCAACAUCCUGACGGCAACCUCAUGAGAGACCUUGAGCCAGAGCCACCCACCUAAGCUGCUUAUAGGUUCCUGGCCCUCAGAAAUCACAUGAGAUCAUAAAUGUUUGCUCAAUUUGAGAUAUUUGUGAUGUAGCAAUAAAUAACAAACACACUUA